This 459-nucleotide long non-coding RNA is filed under the name Solanum tuberosum (potato). RNAcentral's name for it is "long non-coding RNA (STUB_LNC003453)". The record is from RNAcentral. Lineage: Eukaryota; Viridiplantae; Streptophyta; Magnoliopsida; Solanales; Solanaceae.
CUCUCACUAGUCUUUAUUUAUCAACCUAGAUCCAACACAUAACCACUUAAUUCGGUGUUGGGCCGCUUUGCCAAUACUGGUCUAGGCCCAUUCAUAACAUGCUUCUCUCUAUGUCAGAUCUGGAAAUUCCUCUUCUCAGGUACUCUCCCACUGGAUCCUCAAUUGAUUAUCUAUUCAUUCAUUUCUGCAGCUAUGCCAAUUUAUCUUUGUUAUGAAAAACGAAAACAGAUCUAUAUUAGUUGUUUGCGUUGUAUUACAUAAUUUUUUUUUUACGUAAAUCCCUAAGUAGUGAUGAAAUAUUCAGUGAAUAUGAAAGUGAUGAUAGAGUUAUUGACGAAAAUGAUGAAUAAUCGGUUCAUAGAAACAAAGUCAUAUGUGUUGUCUAUUUUACGAUGUAUGAAAUGAUGCUUGUUGCACUCACUUCAAACUAGCAUAUUGCUUCAGUGUCAUGGACACUAC